GAAGGGCCUCGGCCAGAAACACUGGCUGUUUAUUCUCUUCCAUAGCAGCUCUCUGCCCGGCUGAGAUCCUCCAGCGUACUAAGUGUGCUCCUCCGGAUUUCCUACAUCUCCAGAACAUCUUGUGUUGAAGAUUUCUGAGCGAUUGCUCAGAGGGAUCAGGAAAAAGAAUGUCCCCCUUCGCUCAAAGGUGCUGUGUGAGCAAUGCCCGAUUCGACAAUGGGAAGCUACACUACUGGACUCUGAGGAGUUCCAAACCGCAGUACAUUUGGACGAAGAUAGCCAUGAAAUACAGAAGAAGACUUCAAGCCCCCUCCCUGCAUGAGAAGGAAAAAGAAUCAAAACUCACAAACCCAAAACUGCUCCACCCCUUCCUCACACAAAAACCAAUAGACCGCCCACAGAGAAAACUACAGCUAGAAUCAAACCCCCAACCCCAACCCUCUCCCUUGCACAAUGGCCAACAGAUUGCCCACAUGGAAAAUGGCAGCCAGAAUAUCAAAAUCUCCAAACCCACAUCCCAUCCCUCACAAAGAACAGUGACAACAUCAAACCCCAACUCCUCCCCUGCAAAAAACAGAACCAAAAGCACCAAAGCCCCAACCCCUCUCCCACACAAAAAGAACAACAGAUAGCCCACACAGAUAAACCAACACGAACAUCAAACUCCAAAUCCGCAACCCCCCCCACCCAAAAACCAGCACGUUGCCCACCCAGAACCCCUACCCACCAAUUGGCAACAAGAAAUAAAAGACAGAAAACUGAAGGAGGGCGAUGUAAACUGCAGUCCAAUUAGCACAUAGAUCUCUGAACUUCAAAAACAUCCUCCUGCCAGAAUCAAGGAUAGCGGCCACUUGAAGUCUCGCAAAGAGUGACUGCUGUGCCGCCAACUCAGCUACCAGCCACCGUCGACCCAUGGCCUCCGUAGACAUAGAGGAAAAUGGCAAAAAAUGAGAUAAUUGCAGCUACAAUGAUUCAUUACUCUUAUAUAUUCCUGAUCACUUUGACUAUCUCACCAAUGACUGAACAGUGAUGAAUGCCAAGGCUAAUAAUUUGCCACAACCAAAUCAAAUGCCUUUCUUUUGCU
This is a long non-coding RNA of Hypanus sabinus (Atlantic stingray), 1084 nucleotides long. RefSeq lists it as uncharacterized. NCBI's taxonomy places the organism in Eukaryota, Metazoa, Chordata, Chondrichthyes, Myliobatiformes, Dasyatidae. The transcript has 3 exons. The record is from RefSeq and is a predicted model, not a curated record.